Molecule: non-coding RNA, 133 nt
Filed under: Neptunomonas antarctica
Lineage: Bacteria; Pseudomonadati; Pseudomonadota; Gammaproteobacteria; Oceanospirillales; Oceanospirillaceae
Description: TPP sequence
Rfam family: TPP riboswitch aptamer (THI element)
About the family: Vitamin B(1) in its active form thiamin pyrophosphate (TPP) is an essential coenzyme that is synthesised by coupling of pyrimidine and thiazole moieties in bacteria. The previously detected thiamin-regulatory element, thi box was extended, resulting in a new, highly conserved RNA secondary structure, the THI element, which is widely distributed in eubacteria and also occurs in some archaea. Analysis of operon structures identified a large number of new candidate thiamin-regulated genes, mostly transporters, in various prokaryotic organisms.
Source: RNAcentral
UGAAUUCCUAAGGGGUGGCGCAGAAAUAUAGAGAGUAUAUAAACCCUCUCUAUCGCCUGAGAUGCAUAUGGAAUGCGAACCCUUUGAACCUGAUCCGGACGAUACCGGCGUAGGAAUAGGAAAGUCGCAUUAC